AGUAACACGUGGGUAACCUGCCUGUAAGACUGGGAUAACUCCGGGAAACCGGGGCUAAUACCGGAUGCUUGUUUGAACCGCAUGGUUCAAACAUAAAAGGUGGCUUCGGCUACCACUUACAGAUGGACCCGCGGCGCAUUAGCUAGUUGGUGAGGUAACGGCUCACCAAGGCAACGAUGCGUAGCCGACCUGAGAGGGUGAUCGGCCACACUGGGACUGAGACACGGCCCAGACUCCUACGGGAGGCAGCAGUAGGGAAUCUUCCGCAAUGGACGAAAGUCUGACGGAGCAACGCCGCGUGAGUGAUGAAGGUUUUCGGAUCGUAAAGCUCUGUUGUUAGGGAAGAACAAGUACCGUUCGAAUAGGGCGGUACCUUGACGGUACCUAACCAGAAAGCCACGGCUAACUACGUGCCAGCAGCCGCGGUAAUACGUAGGUGGCAAGCGUUGUCCGGAAUUAUUGGGCGUAAAGGGCUCGCAGGCGGUUUCUUAAGUCUGAUGUGAAAGCCCCCGGCUCAACCGGGGAGGGUCAUUGGAAACUGGGGAACUUGAGUGCAGAAGAGGAGAGUGGAAUUCCACGUGUAGCGGUGAAAUGCGUAGAGAUGUGGAGGAACACCAGUGGCGAAGGCGACUCUCUGGUCUGUAACUGACGCUGAGGAGCGAAAGCGUGGGGAGCGAACAGGAUUAGAUACCCUGGUAGUCCACGCCGUAAACGAUGAGUGCUAAGUGUUAGGGGGUUUCCGCCCCUUAGUGCUGCAGCUAACGCAUUAAGCACUCCGCCUGGGGGAGUACGGUCGCAAGACUGAAACUCAAAGGAAUUGACGGGGGCCCGCACAAGCGGUGGAGCAUGUGGUUUAAUUCGAAGC
Molecule: ribosomal RNA, 865 nt
Filed under: Bacillus sp. N14(2012)
Lineage: Bacteria; Bacillati; Bacillota; Bacilli; Caryophanales; Bacillaceae
Description: bacterial SSU rRNA
Rfam family: Bacterial small subunit ribosomal RNA
Source: RNAcentral